CCUACGGGGAGCAGCAGUAGGGAAUCUUUCACAAUGGGCGAAAGCCUGAUGGAGCAACGCCGCGUGCAGGAUGAAGGCCCUCGGGUUGUAAACUGCUUUUAUAAGCGAGAAAUAUGAUGGUAACUUAUGAAUAAGGAUCGGCUAACUACGUGCCAGCAGCCGCGGUCAUACGUAGGAUCCGAGCAUUAUCCGGAGUGACUGGGUGUAAAGAGUUGCGUAGGUGGCAUAAUAAGUAGCUAGUGAAAUCUGGUGGCUCAACCAUUCAGACUAUUAGCUAAACUGUUAAGCUCGAGACCGUUAGGGGUAACUGGAAUUUCUAGUGUAGGAGUGAAAUCCGUAGAUAUUAGAAGGAACACCAAUAGCGUAGGCAGGUUGCUGGGACGGUUCUGACACUAAGGCACGAAAGCGUAGGGAGCAAACGGGAUUAGAUACCCGUGUAGUC
This 442-nucleotide ribosomal RNA is filed under the name uncultured bacterium. Its description in RNAcentral is "partial 16S ribosomal RNA". It matches the Rfam family "Bacterial small subunit ribosomal RNA", at positions 338 to 795 of the family's 1533-position model. The record is from RNAcentral.